UAUGUGAUCGUCUCUCGCAUAUCAAUAAGCGGAGGAAAAGAAACUAGCAAGGAUUCCCCUAGUAACGGCGAGUGAAGCGGGAAGAGCUCAAAUUUGAAAUCUUAAAGGGUUUCCCUUUACGAAUUGUAGUUUAAAGAAGUGUUUUCUGUUGAGGUUUUGGUAAAAGUUCUUUGGAAUAGGACAUCAUAGAGGGUGAGAAUCCCGUAUUUGACCUUUACUUUCAACUUUGUGAUACACUUUCAAAGAGUCGGAUUGUUUGGGAAUGCAGUCCAAAAUGGGUGGUAAAUUUCAUCUAAAGCUAAAUAUUGGCGAGAGACCGAUAGCGAACAAGUACCGUGAGGGAAAGAUGAAAAGAACUUUGAAAAGAGAGUUAAACAGUACGUGAAAUUGUCAAAAGGGAAGCGUUUGACACCAGUGUUGUUUUUCUGAAAAUCAAUUAAAGAACUGUUUAUGCUAAGUUGUUUAGACUUUAUCAGCUAUCUGUUUAGUUUUGAGCUUUUCUUUAAUGCACUUUUCAGUUAACAAGUCAACAUCAAUUUCUUUUGCUGUAAAAAAGCUUGAGGAAGGUGGCUUGAGAUUCGUCUUAAGUGUUUAUAGCCUCUUGCCUAUGCAGUCGGAGAGAUUGAGGUCUGCAGCGUAGAUCCUUCGGGGCUAAAUGCAUUUGUGCUAAGUUAUAACAUUUUAUAGACAACUUGUUGACUAUGAUUUGUCUUGUAGCUUACUCGCUUAUGUUAUUUUACCUACGCUUAGGAUGUGAAGUCAUCGUAUCGCGC
RNAcentral lists this ribosomal RNA (773 nucleotides) under uncultured Neocallimastigales. Its description in RNAcentral is "partial large subunit ribosomal RNA". It matches the Rfam family "Eukaryotic large subunit ribosomal RNA", at positions 24 to 645 of the family's 3401-position model. The record is from RNAcentral. Lineage: Eukaryota; Fungi; Neocallimastigomycota; Neocallimastigomycetes; Neocallimastigales.